UCCCAGACUCCUACGGGAGGCAGCAGUGGGGGAUAUUGCACAAUGGGGGGAACCCUGAUGCAGCGACGCCGCGUGGGUGAAGGAGCGUUUCGGCGCGUAAAGCCCUAUCGGCAGGGAAGAAGGAGGACGGUACCUGACUAAGAAGCCCCGGCUAACUACGUGCCAGCAGCCGCGGUAAUACGUAGGGGGCAAGCGUUAUCCGGAUUUACUGGGUGUAAAGGGGGCGCAGACGGCAGCGCAAGCCAGGAGUGAAAGCCCGGGGCCCAACCCCGGGACUGCUCUUGGAACUGCGCGGCUGGAGUGCAGGAGGGGCAGGCGGAAUUCCUGGUGUAGCGGUGGAAUGCGCAGAUAUUGGGAAGAACACCGGCGGCGAAGGCGGCCUUCUGGGCCACGACUGACGCUGAGGCGCGAAAGCUAGGGGAGCGAACAGGAUUAGAUACCCGCGUAUC
RNAcentral lists this ribosomal RNA (449 nucleotides) under uncultured bacterium. RNAcentral describes it as "partial 16S ribosomal RNA". It matches the Rfam family "Bacterial small subunit ribosomal RNA", at positions 329 to 794 of the family's 1533-position model. The record is from RNAcentral.